GACGAACGCUGGCGGCGUGCUUAACACAUGCAAGUCGAACGGUGACGAGGAGCUUGCUCCUCUGAUCAGUGGCGAACGGGUGAGUAACACGUGAGCAACCUGCCCCAGACUCUGGGAUAACAGUUGGAAACAGCUGCUAAUACCGGAUACGAGACGGAGAGGCAUCUCUACCGUCUGGAAAGUUUCUCGGUCUGGGAUGGACUCGCGGCCUAUCAGCUAGUUGGUGAGGUAACGGCUCACCAAGGCGACGACGGGUAGCCGGCCUGAGAGGGCGACCGGCCACACUGGGACUGAGACACGGCCCAGACUCCUACGGGAGGCAGCAGUGGGGAAUAUUGCACAAUGGGCGAAAGCCUGAUGCAGCGACGCCGCGUGAGGGAUGAAGGCCU
This 389-nucleotide ribosomal RNA is filed under the name uncultured bacterium. Its description in RNAcentral is "bacterial SSU rRNA". It matches the Rfam family "Bacterial small subunit ribosomal RNA", at positions 28 to 417 of the family's 1533-position model. The record is from RNAcentral.